UCGGGAAUUUUGGGCAAUGAGCGAAAGCCUGACCCAGCAACGCCGCGUGAAGGAUGAAGUAUUUCGGUAUGUAAACUUCGAAAGAAUAGGAAGAAUAAAUGACGGUACUAUUUAUAAGGUCCGGCUAACUACGUGCCAGCAGCCGCGGUAAUACGUAGGGACCAAGCGUUGUUCGGAUUUACUGGGCGUAAGGGGCGCGUAGGCGGCAAUUCAAGUCAUCUGUGAAAUCUCCGGGCUUAACUCGGAACGGUCAGAUGAUACUGCUUUGCUAGAGUGCAGAAGGGGCAAUCGGAAUUCUUGGUGUAGCGGUGAAAUGCGUAGAUAUCAAGAGGAACACCUGAGGUGAAGACGGGUUGCUGGGCUGACACUGACGCUGAGGCGCGAAAGCCAGGGGAGCAAACGGGAUUAGAUACCCUGGUAGUCCCUGAGCGGGCUGGCAAGGCGCAU
RNAcentral lists this ribosomal RNA (447 nucleotides) under uncultured bacterium. RNAcentral describes it as "bacterial SSU rRNA". It matches the Rfam family "Bacterial small subunit ribosomal RNA", at positions 355 to 825 of the family's 1533-position model. The record is from RNAcentral.